ACGCUGGCGGCGUGCUUAACACAUGCAAGUCGAACGAUGAUGCCCAGCUUGCUGGGCGGAUUAGUGGCGAACGGGUGAGUAAUACGUGAGUAACCUGCCCUUGACUCUGGGAUAAGCCUGGGAAACUGGGUCUAAUACUGGAUACUACCUCUUACCGCAUGGUGGGUGGUGGAAAGGGUUUUACUGGUUUUGGAUGGGCUCACGGCCUAUCAGCUUGUUGGUGGGGUAAUGGCUCACCAAGGCGACGACGGGUAGCCGGCCUGAGAGGGUGACCGGCCACACUGGGACUGAGACACGGCCCAGACUCCUACGGGAGGCAGCAGUGGGGAAUAUUGCACAAUGGGCGGAAGCCUGAUGCAGCGACGCCGCGUGAGGGAUGACGGCCUUCGGGUUGUAAACCUCUUUCAGUAGGGAAGAAGCGAGAGUGACGGUACCUGCAGAAGAAGCGCCGGCUAACUACGUGCCAGCAGCCGCGGUAAUACGUAGGGCGCAAGCGUUGUCCGGAAUUAUUGGGCGUAAAGAGCUCGUAGGCGGUUUGUCGCGUCUGCUGUGAAAGCCCGGGGCUCAACCCCGGGUCUGCAGUGGGUACGGGCAGACUAGAGUGCAGUAGGGGAGACUGGAAUUCCUGGUGUAGCGGUGAAAUGCGCAGAUAUCAGGAGGAACACCGAUGGCGAAGGCAGGUCUCUGGGCUGUUACUGACGCUGAGGAGCGAAAGCAUGGGGAGCGAACAGGAUUAGAUACCCUGGUAGUCCAUGCCGUAAACGUUGGGCACUAGGUGUGGGGGACAUUCCCACGUUUUCCGCGCCGUAGCUAACGCAUUAAGUGCCCCGCCUGGGGAGUACGGCCGCAAGGCUAAAACUCAAAGGAAUUGACGGGGGCCCGCACAAGCGGCGGAGCAUGCGGAUUAAUUCGAUGCAACGCGAAGAACCUUACCAAGGCUUGACAUUCACCGGACCGCCCCAGAGAUGGGGUUUCCCUUCGGGGCUGGUGGACAGGUGGUGCAUGGUUGUCGUCAGCUCGUGUCGUGAGAUGUUGGGUUAAGUCCCGCAACGAGCGCAACCCUCGUUCUAUGUUGCCAGCACGUGAUGGUGGGGACUCAUAGGAGACUGCCGGGGUCAACUCGGAGGAAGGUGGGGAUGACGUCAAAUCAUCAUGCCCCUUAUGUCUUGGGCUUCACGCAUGCUACAAUGGCCGGUACAAAGGGUUGCGAUACUGUGAGGUGGAGCUAAUCCCAAAAAGCCGGUCUCAGUUCGGAUUGAGGUCUGCAACUCGACCUCAUGAAGUCGGAGUCGCUAGUAAUCGCAGAUCAGCAACGCUGCGGUGAAUACGUUCCCGGGCCUUGUACACACCGCCCGUCAAGUCACGAAAGUUGGUAACACCCGAAGCCGGUGGCCUAACCCCUUGUGGAGGA
RNAcentral lists this ribosomal RNA (1411 nucleotides) under Micrococcaceae bacterium NR120. Its description in RNAcentral is "bacterial SSU rRNA". It matches the Rfam family "Bacterial small subunit ribosomal RNA". Lineage: Bacteria; Bacillati; Actinomycetota; Actinomycetes; Micrococcales; Micrococcaceae. The record is from RNAcentral.